CCCGCGGGCCGGGCCGACAAGCCGCACGGACCCCAAGAGCGCGAAGGCGGCGACAGCGGCGGGCCUGCGAGAACACAACAUGGCGGCGGGCAGGCCGGACCAAACUGUAGCGGCGGCCCCGAGAGGGAAGAGAUCAUACUUCUCACACUAAUGUCAUCAAGCUUUGCAUUCUUUUGAUCAAUGAAAUGUGAAUCAAAAUGGCAUGAGCCACUUCUGAACAGAAAUGUAUGAGCCAUCUAAGGAUUCCACCAUAUUAUUUUCUUCUGCUGUGAGAGCAGCAUGUCCCAAAUAGAACUGCUUCUCCAGGGUUGGUCCCAGAAUGAAGAUGUGCAGAACCACAGCUAAUGUACAUGACCUGUAAUGUAAGGAUAAAUGGAUACUCUUCUGAUGGGCAACUUUGGCUCAAGGACUCCUCAAUGGCCUUGCCAGACUUUCCUGAGAACUACACUGCAGUCUAAGACCCUUCCACCUAGAUCUCCCUCCUUCUCUCUCCUUUCCUCAGCGUCAGAUUUGCAUCACUGUCUGGUGGUCCUCAGUCUCUCUCAGCUUCUGCACCAUUUUCUCU
This is a long non-coding RNA of Suricata suricatta (meerkat), 565 nucleotides long. RefSeq lists it as uncharacterized. The transcript has 3 exons. The record is from RefSeq and is a predicted model, not a curated record. NCBI's taxonomy places the organism in Eukaryota, Metazoa, Chordata, Mammalia, Carnivora, Herpestidae.